This 497-nucleotide ribosomal RNA is filed under the name uncultured bacterium. Its description in RNAcentral is "partial 16S ribosomal RNA". It matches the Rfam family "Bacterial small subunit ribosomal RNA", at positions 28 to 507 of the family's 1533-position model. The record is from RNAcentral.
GACGAACGCUGGCGGCGUGCUUAACACAUGCAAGUCGAACGGUGAAGCGCCUUCCUUUUUGGUGGGUCGGGAGGAGUGGAGAACGGGGGAGCAACACGAGAGUAACCUGCCCCCUCCUUCUGGAUAACCGCAUGAAAGUGUGGCUAAUACGGGAUAUUUUGGGUCGGUUGCAUGAUGAGUCUGGGAAAGAUUUUGUUUCGGUGGGGGAUGGGCUCGCGGCGUAUUAGCUUGUUGGUGGGGUGAUGGCUUACCAAGGCGGUGACGGGUAGCCGGCCUGAGAGGGUGGUCGGCGGCACUAGAGGGGAGGAGACGUCGCGCCGACUCCGACGGGCAGCAGUAGGGAAGAAUACGGAACGGUGGGAGGCAGGCUGAAGCAGCGCCGCGGCGGGGGUGAUGGAGUCCUGCGCGUUGUGCACUGCUUUCGGGAGUGAAGCAGGGUGGCCUCGUCUGUGCACGUGUUGACGGUAGCUGGACAAGAAGCGCCGGCUAACUACGUG